This is a long non-coding RNA of Chiroxiphia lanceolata (lance-tailed manakin), 369 nucleotides long. RefSeq lists it as uncharacterized. The transcript is spliced from 2 exons. The record is from RefSeq and is a predicted model, not a curated record. NCBI's taxonomy places the organism in Eukaryota, Metazoa, Chordata, Aves, Passeriformes, Pipridae.
AAUCAUACUGCACAUGUCAGAGAGGGGUUCUGUGUGCUCAUCCAAGUAGCUGUAGUCCAAAGUGAAUUCAUCUCUCCUGAAGAGUACACAGACAGUACACAGCAUUGGAGAUGAGAAUUCAGAAUUAUUCAAUAUUUAGAAUCAAGAAACAUCUGUGAAAAUUACUGUGGUGCUGCAGUUUGGGUGCUGGUAGCCUGAGAGAAAAAAGAAGACCUUGGCUGUGGACACUCUAAACAGCCAGAGGUCGUCAAACUCCCAGUUCAGCGAGGCUGUGGAAGCCCAUGCAGCCUGCACUGUGUGGCCUGGAGAAGGGCUCGCUUGCACACUCCGAGCUGCUUGGACACUUUAAUAAAGACUGCAUGAACAGCA